RNAcentral lists this ribosomal RNA (509 nucleotides) under uncultured Flavobacteriaceae bacterium. RNAcentral describes it as "bacterial SSU rRNA". It matches the Rfam family "Bacterial small subunit ribosomal RNA", at positions 536 to 1050 of the family's 1533-position model. The record is from RNAcentral. Lineage: Bacteria; Pseudomonadati; Bacteroidota; Flavobacteriia; Flavobacteriales; Flavobacteriaceae.
AAGCGUUAUCCGGAAUCAUUGGGUUUAAAGGGUCCGUAGGUGGACAAAUAAGUCAGAGGUGAAAUCCUGCAGCUCAACUGUAGAACUGCCUUUGAUACUGUUUGUCUUGAGUUAUUAUGAAGUGGUUAGAAUGUGUAGUGUAGCGGUGAAAUGCAUAGAUAUUACACAGAAUACCGAUUGCGAAGGCAGAUCACUAAUAAUUAACUGACACUGAGGGACGAAAGCGUGGGUAGCGAACAGGAUUAGAUACCCUGGUAGUCCACGCCGUAAACGAUGGUCACUAGCUGUUUGGACUUCGGUCUGAGUGGCUAAGCGAAAGUGAUAAGUGACCCACCUGGGGAGUACGUUCGCAAGAAUGAAACUCAAAGGAAUUGACGGGGGCCCGCACAAGCGGUGGAGCAUGUGGUUUAAUUCGAUGAUACGCGAGGAACCUUACCAGGGCUUAAAUGUUAGGUGACAGAUCUAGAAAUAGAUUUUUCUUCGGACACUUAACAAGGUGCUGCAUGGUU